GCUCUUAUGGUAGAGAGCAACAGGAUCAGGAUAUUUAUCCAGCACCCCAUCCUCUCCCUUUUCUAGUCCAUCAGGGCUCAGAGAUGGAAUUGUGUGGUCUGAGCAAUGGGGAUGCUUCUGGAACUUUCCAUAUGGAUCAGCUGCAACUGACACUUUAGUCCCUGCUAUGGCACAGAGAACAGCUGCUUUAGUCAUGCAUGCUGAUAUACAUCUUUAAUACUUCCAUCCAUUAGUCUGAAGAAAGCUGUUUUUAGUUAGUUUUGGAGAUACAGGGAACCCUGGUGUAACUUUUAAUGUUAUCAGAUGAACCCUUCCUAUACACAGGAACCUUUUUCUGUGUGAGAGCACUCAUAAACAUGACACUCAGUCUACCACCUCUGGUCUACCACUGCAUUCUAUGUAAUAAGCAGAACAGCUCCAAGUGUUGCUCUCUCUCUCUCUCCACCCCCACCCCAAGAAGAAUGCAGCAAGUGAACCAUCCUAUAUCAUGUUUAUUAGAAUGCAGAAGCUCCCUGGUCACCCAAGAGGCCAUUGCUCAGUGGCAGACUGCAUGCCUUGCUUACAGACGGUCAGGUUCUGAUCCCAGAAUCUCUAGUUAAAAGGAUCUGACACAGCAAGAACUGAGCCUCAGAAUUGAAAGUGUGAUAUUCUGUCCUGGGACACCAUGGCUCAAAUUUAGAAAGGAAACAGGGAUUGGAGGAAUAAGAAGAAAAAGCACCCAGAUCCUACACAGAGCAGCAAACCCGGAAGGAAAAGAAGUAGCCUUCUUGGUUUCAGGACCCUCCUUCCACAUAGAUGUGACUGCCAAGAAACCCCUGCCCAUCUGGUAGUGUUAACACCAUACAGAGGACUGAAAGUGGAACUAACUUGCUUUCUCCCUGCCAACAGUAUACCAGCCUGCUGGCAAACCUGUCCUAGGAGAAGAUGCCCAGAAUUCUUAAGGGUGGGGGAGAAGAGCUCUCAUGCACAAUUUAUUUUCCUGUGAGGUAAGAGAAGACAAACUGCUAAAACAGAAAAUCUC
Long non-coding RNA from Hemicordylus capensis (graceful crag lizard), 1021 nucleotides. RefSeq lists it as uncharacterized. Lineage: Eukaryota; Metazoa; Chordata; Lepidosauria; Squamata; Cordylidae. The record is from RefSeq and is a predicted model, not a curated record. The transcript has 4 exons.